UGGCAGUAACAUAGACUUGAAGGGAGUCUCUGAGAUGGAUACUAGUAAGAGUCUUCGCCUUAAUCCUGUCAUUGGCCUCAUUUAGUCCUUCAUACUCUAUGAAGGUGGACUGAGGUUCCAUCAUCCCAAACGGCACCCUAUUCCCAUCAUAGUGCACUACGUUUGAUCAGAGCCCUAUGGGUAGUAGUGCACUACGUUUGAUCAGAGCCCUAUGGGUAGUAGUGCACUACGUUUGAUCAGAGCCCUAUGGGAAGUAGUGCACUACGUUUGAUCAGAGCCCUAUGGGUAGUAGUGCACUACGUUUGAUCAGAGCCCUAUGGGUAGUAGUGCACUACGUUUGAUCAGAGCUCUAUGGGUUGUAGUGCACUACGUUUGAUCAGAGCCCUAUGGGUAGUGGUGCACUACGUUUGAUCAGAGCCCUAUGGGAAGUAGUGCACUACGUUUGAUCAGAGCCCUAUGGGUAGUAGUGCACUACGUUUGAUCAGAGCCCUAUGGGUAGUAGUGCACUACGUUUGAUCAGAGCCCUAUGGGUAGUAGUGCACUACGUUUGAUCAGAGCCCUAUGGGAAGUAGUGCACUACGUUUGAUCAGAGCCCUAUGGGUAGUAGUGCACUACGUUUGAUCAGAGCCCUAUGGGAAGUAGUGCACUACGUUUGAUCAGAGCCCUAUGGGUAGUAGUGCACUACGUUUGAUCAGAGCCCUAUGGGAAGUAGUGCACUACGUUUGAUCAGAGCCCUAUGGGAAGUAGUGCACUACGUUUGAUCAGAGCCCUAUGGGAAGUAGUGCACUACGUUUGAUCAGAGCCCUAUGGGAAGUAGUGCGCUGUCUAGGGAACAGGGUGCCAUUUGGGAGGCAACCUGAGUCUGUUUCUGGAUCUGAAUAGGAUAUUGAUUCAUCAGCACAGUGAGGUCUGAAAUCAUCUAGUCUAAUUAGUCAUCGGAAUGGAUGGACGGUUGGUGAGCUGAAAGAAGAUACAGACAGUUGUCAAAGUUUACAACAAUUACUUCAAAGUCUUUCAAAGGAAAAUCUCCAGAUAAUAUAUUCUGGAUCUCUUCCAUGUGAUUUUCAAUAUGAAUAAAUUGUGAAUUUAAUGACAUUGGGUACAGAUGUUGUCCGUCGAUCCCGAUAUCGCAAAUCAACACAUAAGCAGAGUUCACCGUUUUCCCUGAGCUCUCGGUCACACAACUCUCUGUUACAAUGGAACUGAUAAUUGUCUGGCAAGGUUAAGAGAGUAACAUGUCUUAACAUGUGCAUCUUUAAAGAAGUGUUUAUACUUCUAAGGUGCAAAUGAAAAAUGAUUUAUUUCUAACGUGCAAAUAAAGAGCCUGUAAAAAAAUAAAAAAUAACAAGCAUUAUUUGUCCCUCUGUGUCAGGAUGAAAUGAUCCAUGGGACUGAGGAGACCUGCUGGAAUGUAUUGUGAUGCAGAGAUGCUGUCACAGCAGAUGUAGCUUCCAGCUCCAGAUUAAGGUGCCCGAGAUUGGAAGAAUAAUUCCAAAUGUUGGAAUUGGCUCAGCCCCAGCAUCCAUCAGUCCAGAAGGAGGAACGCUAGAAAAGGGCAGCAGGAAGGCAUCUUUCUUCCGGACGGUCCAGAGGGGAAGCCGG
Long non-coding RNA from Oncorhynchus keta (chum salmon), 1602 nucleotides. RefSeq lists it as uncharacterized. Lineage: Eukaryota; Metazoa; Chordata; Actinopteri; Salmoniformes; Salmonidae. The transcript has 2 exons. The record is from RefSeq and is a predicted model, not a curated record.